UGAGGAAUAUUGCACAAUGGGGGAAACCCUGAUGCAGCAACGCCGCGUGGAGGAUGACGCAUUUCGGUGUGUAAACUCCUUUUAUGAGUCAAGAAAAUGACGGUAGCUCAUGAAUAAGCACCGGCUAACUCCGUGCCAGCAGCCGCGGUAAUACGGAGGGUGCAAGCGUUACUCGGAAUCACUGGGCGUAAAGGACGCGUAGGCGGGCUUGUAAGUCAGAUGUGAAAUCCUACAGCUUAACUGUAGAACUGCAUUUGAAACUACGAGCCUAGAGUAUGGGAGGGGGAGAUGGAAUUAGUGGUGUAGGGGUAAAAUCCGUAGAUAUCACUAGGAAUACCGAAAGCGAAGGCGAUCUCCUGGAACAUAACUGACGCUAAGGCGUGAAAGCGUGGGGAGCUAAACAGGAUUAGAUACCCUGGUAGUCCACGCCCUAAACGAUGAACACUAGUCGUCGGGGAUGCUAGUCAUCUCGGUGGAUGCACUUAACAGGAUUAAA
Molecule: ribosomal RNA, 496 nt
Filed under: uncultured bacterium
Lineage: Bacteria
Description: bacterial SSU rRNA
Rfam family: Bacterial small subunit ribosomal RNA
Source: RNAcentral